CAAACUUUAAUGAAAAUAUGCAUCAUGUUAUUAUGUUUUCUUGAUGUUCCAUUUUGGUUAGCGCCUGAUGUUAUGUUAGUUAAGUUGUAAGAUGUGCCUAUAUUGGAGAGUUGUUUGAAUGUGCUGCACAAACCACUUGUGCUAUCGGGCUUCCUGCUGAAGCUUGCAGCCCCCCUGAGCACGUGGAAAUGCACCCGCUGUGUGCGUCCAUAUCAUAUCUUAAACAGGCUGCACAAAUUCCAUGUGCAGUGCAGCAAAUGGGGGAUAAUUUAAUUGAGAGUGCCAUACCCAUUUUUGGGGUUAGUCGAUAUAAAACCCCAUUGUUUCAAGCAUGCUUGCUUCGUCACUAAGGUGAAAAGACUUAACAACCCUGUCAUUCUGUUGCACCAGGCUUUCUGCUGUGGGCAUGUUGGAAAGACUGGAUGACAAAAAUACAUUGGUUUGGACUUUGUUUUUUUUUGUGUGAACUUGUCGACAAAACGGACAUAACAUGUUGAAAGAUGAAAGUUUAAGGAGCUGGGUCAAAUCAUCUGAUGCAUGCUGUGGAUGUGAGGAAGCUUUGUGAGCUGCAAAUAACAAGGUUUUAAAAGGGGAACAGAAAAAGUUGGCCUGCGAGACAUAGUUGGCAAGAAGAGUGGAGAUUCUUAAUGAAGUUGCCGUGGGUAUUUAUAAAUAGAUAUUGAAACUGAUAACUCAAUGUUUGCUUUAAAUAGUUAAUCAAUGGUCUAUUGGACUCCGUGUAGCCCUGUUGACAGUCAUCAAAUGUGGCACAGUUGUGUUUAUUCUAACUAUUCUCUGUCAUGAAAACAAGACCCUUGCAAAGUUUUGCUAAGUAUCUGGUGUAAAGUUUCAAAUGAGUUUGUUUGCCCAGCCUCCAAAAAUCUUUGUAUAUGUGAAUAAUAAUCUUUGGUGGGUCAGAAAUGACGGGGGAUUUUUGUUUGUUAUUUUAAAGUUCUGUUUACAGCACAAUUUGCACAUUUCUGCCAAACAGUUUCUAUUUUGAAGGUAAGAGACAGUCAAGGCUCAGAUGAACAAAGAGUGAAGAUGUUAGAGACUUUCCAUGAUGUGGAGGAGCUGGUGUUGGA
Molecule: non-coding RNA, 1085 nt
Organism: Chiloscyllium plagiosum (whitespotted bambooshark)
Lineage: Eukaryota; Metazoa; Chordata; Chondrichthyes; Orectolobiformes; Hemiscylliidae
Source: RefSeq, a predicted model, not a curated record